RNAcentral lists this long non-coding RNA (173 nucleotides) under Mustela putorius furo (domestic ferret). RNAcentral's name for it is "lncRNA (ENSMPUG00000028278.1)". Lineage: Eukaryota; Metazoa; Chordata; Mammalia; Carnivora; Mustelidae. The record is from RNAcentral.
GGAGUCACAUUAACUUCUUUUGCAGCAACUUUCCUUUUCCACAUUAAAUCCUUGUUCAGUUCUUUCCUGAAUAUCUUCUCAUGAAAGAGAAAGUGUUUCAAGAUGAUGCCCACUUCACUUUGACAUUCCUGGUGCCCAGCACAGUGCUCAAUACAGAAAAAACAAUAAAUCAG